UAGGGAAUCUUCGGCAAUGGACGAAAGUCUGACCGAGCAACGCCGCGUGAGUGAAGAAGGUUUUCGGAUCGUAAAACUCUGUUGUUAGAGAAGAACAAGGACGUUAGUAACUGAACGUCCCCUGACGGUAUCUAACCAGAAAGCCACGGCUAACUACGUGCCAGCAGCCGCGGUAAUACGUAGGUGGCAAGCGUUGUCCGGAUUUAUUGGGCGUAAAGCGAGCGCAGGCGGUUUCUUAAGUCUGAUGUGAAAGCCCCCGGCUCAACCGGGGAGGGUCAUUGGAAACUGGGAGACUUGAGUGCAGAAGAGGAGAGUGGAAUUCCAUGUGUAGCGGUGAAAUGCGUAGAUAUAUGGAGGAACACCAGUGGUGAAGGCGGCUCUCUGGUCUGUAACUGACGCUGAGGCGCGAAAGCGUGGGGAGCAAACAGG
Molecule: ribosomal RNA, 429 nt
Filed under: Gemmatimonadota bacterium
Lineage: Bacteria; Pseudomonadati; Gemmatimonadota
Description: Gemmatimonadetes bacterium partial 16S ribosomal RNA
Rfam family: Bacterial small subunit ribosomal RNA
Source: RNAcentral